Molecule: ribosomal RNA, 252 nt
Filed under: uncultured bacterium
Lineage: Bacteria
Description: partial 16S ribosomal RNA
Rfam family: Bacterial small subunit ribosomal RNA
Source: RNAcentral
UACGUAGGUCCCGAGCGUUGUCCGGAUUUAUUGGGCGUAAAGCGAGCGCAGGUGGUUUAUUAAGUCUGGUGUAAAAGGCAGUGGCUCAACCAUUGUAUGCAUUGGGAACUGGUAGACUUGAGUGCAGGAGAGGAGAGUGGAAUUCCAUGUGUAGCGGUGAAAUGCGUAGAUAUAUGGAGGAACACCGGUGGCGAAAGCGGCUCUCUGGCCUGUAACUGACACUGAGGCUCGAAAGCGUGGGGAGCAAACAGG